This 449-nucleotide ribosomal RNA is filed under the name uncultured bacterium. Its description in RNAcentral is "partial 16S ribosomal RNA". It matches the Rfam family "Bacterial small subunit ribosomal RNA", at positions 338 to 795 of the family's 1533-position model. The record is from RNAcentral.
CCUACGGGGGGCUGCAGUGGGGAAUAUUGGACAAUGGGGGAAACCCUGAUCCAGCAAUGCCGCGUGGGUGAAGAAGGCCUGCGGGUUGUAAAGCACUUUCGGUUGGGAAGAAAAGUUUGGCGCAAAUACCGCCGAACCUUGACGUUACGGACAGAAGAAGCACCGGCUAACUCUGUGCCAGCAGCCGCGGUAAUACAGAGGGUGCAAGCGGGCGUCGGAAGCACGGGGGGGGUAGUGCACGUCGGGUGUGAAAUCCCCGGGCUUAACCUGGGAACUGCAUUCGAUACUACAUGGCUAGAGUAUGGUAGAGGGAAGUGGAAUUUCCGGUGUAGCGGUGAAAUGCGUAGAUAUCGGAAGGAACACCAAUGGCGAAGGCAGCUUCCUGGACUAAUACUGACACUGAGGCACGAAAGCGUGGGUAGCAAACAGGAUUAGAUACCCGAGUAGUC